Molecule: long non-coding RNA, 726 nt
Organism: Drosophila pseudoobscura
Lineage: Eukaryota; Metazoa; Arthropoda; Insecta; Diptera; Drosophilidae
Exons: 2
Source: RefSeq, a predicted model, not a curated record
UUUCGGCAACGUUGUGCCUUACUGGUGGUUCCAUCUCCUAUAUGCCCCUCUGAUGCCUCUUUCUUUGCCACCUGAAAACAAUCCACAAACAUCAGAAAAAAAGAAGAAGGAGAAACCAUUGCAAUUUGCGUACCGUUUGCCGGUGUCAAAGAGCUAGAAUGAAUUUAGCCGCGAAAGCAAAUCAAAUUCUAAAUUCAAAUUAAAACGUCGGGGGAUUAAUUGCGCACAAUUAAAAGCAAUGCCUAGUGGAAGCCAGAGCGGGAUUUCUGGUCUCAUUAAAACAGAGUUCAAGCAACUUUUGUGUAACCAUAAAAAUAGCAAAAACCGAACAAAAGGCGAAAGCCCAGGGAGGAGCAGGGCUCCGGCUCCAGCUCCAGCUCCGGCUCCGGCUCCGGGCCAAAAUCAAACCAUCAAAGUGUCGCAAUUUCAGGCGCGAUGAACUCGACUCUGUCUCUGGUGGAGGGCGUCUCUCUCUCUGGCUCUGGCUCUGACUCUAUCUCUGGCUCUGACUCUGUGGCUGUUCGAGUCUUUUGGUUAAUGGGCAUUCGGCGGCGCAAUUUACAUAAAAAACGCAGUCGCAGUCGCAGCCGCAGCCGCAGCCCAAGCGUCUCAAGGUGUGGGCCGACACAUCCACCAGAUACUCGCACUCACACUCGCUUUCCUAGUCAACAUAUUUUAUGUAAUUUGUCUUUGUUUCGUGUAAUAAAACGAAAAUAAAAUUGUGAA